Andrographis paniculata is the source of this 647-nucleotide RNA transcript. RefSeq lists it as uncharacterized. The transcript has 2 exons. The record is from RefSeq and is a predicted model, not a curated record. NCBI's taxonomy places the organism in Eukaryota, Viridiplantae, Streptophyta, Magnoliopsida, Lamiales, Acanthaceae.
AGGAGAGAUUUCGAAAACCACAUUAGUUCUGUGGUCGAAUCAAUGCCAUUGGCCAGGGACUUCAUUACCCAAUCACACCCAGAAUGUUGGGCAAAUUCACUAUUCAGAGGCACUCGUUGGGGAAUAAUAAAUAAUAACAUUGCUGAGUCAUGGAAUAGUUGGGUGAGAUCCGCGAGGUCAAUGCCAUUCGUUGGGAUGUUGGAUACCAUUAGAAGGCAAGUGAUGGUAAUGAUGAAUGAACGCCGCGAAAAGUCGGAGAUAAUGCACGGAAGGCUCUGUCCAAAACAGGAGAGCAAGUUGGCACUAUCGUACAUGGCGUCUCGACGGCUACAGUGCAGUUCAUCCUCUAGAACUGUAUUCGAGGUAACAGAUUGUAAUGAAAGAUACGCAGUCGAUUUGGAGGCGCGCAAAUGCUCUUGUCGAGAAUGAAAAACGUACCAGGAGCCAAUAAAUCCCGUACCGACGCAUGAUAUGGACGUGAUUGUUGAAAUUCAGGCGGACCAAAUUCACCCUCCUCCGUCGUCUGUCCAACCAGGCCGGCCAAAGAAGCGAAGGUUCGAGUCCCAGCAGGUAAAGAAUGCACGGAAAUGUGGUCGUUGUGGGCGUCUUGGACAUAACAGAAGAAGUUGCAAGCAACAAAUAGCUUA